UGAAUACGAGACGCUAAGGCGUCGAAGUAGUGUAUGUCAUACUUCCAAGAAAAGCUUGCACUGUCAUAGAUAAAAAACGCCUGUACCAUAACCGACACAGGUGGGUAGGUAGAGUAUACUAAGGGGCGCGAGAUAACUCUCUCUAAGGAACUCGGCAAAAUAACUCCGUAACUUCGGGAGAAGGAGUGCCUUAUUCGUAAGGUCCAAUAACAAGAUCCAAGCAACUGUUUAUCAAAAACACAGGUCUCCGCUAAGUCGUAAGACGAUGUAUGGGGGCUGACGCCUGCCCAGUGCCAGAAGGUUAAGGAAGUUGGUUAGCAAUUGCGAAGUUGAUAACUGAAGCCCUGGUGAACGGCGGCCGUAACAAUAACGGUCCUAAGGUAGCGAAAUUCCUUGUCGGGUAAGUUCCGACCCGCACGAAAGGCGUAAUGAUUUGGAUACUGUCUCGGAGAGGGGCUCGGUGAAAUAGACUUGUCUGUGAAGAUGCGGACUACCUGCACCAGGACAGAAAGACCCUAUGAAGCUUUACUGUAACUUGAAAUUGAAAUUGGACUUUAUUCGCGCAGUAUAGGUGGGAGGCGUUGAUUAUAAUCUUGUGGGAUUAUUGGAGCCAUCAGUGAGAUACCACUCUUGUAAUGUUAGAUUUCUAACUUUGAAUCAUUAUCUGGUCAAAGAACAGUUUCAGGCGGGCAGUUUGACUGGGGCGGUCGCCUCCUAAACGGUAACGGAGGCGUACAAAGGUUUCCUCUGAACGGUUAGAAAUCGUAUCUAGAGUGUAAAGGCAUAAGGAAGCUUGACUGUGAGACCUACAAGUCGAGCAGGGACGAAAGUCGGUCUUAGUGAUCUGACGGUACUGAGUGGAAAGGCCGUCACUCAACGGAUAAAAGUUACUCUAGGAUAACAGGCUGAUCUCCCCCAAGAGUUCACAUCGACGGGGAGGUUUGGCACCUCGAUGUCGGCUCAUCGCAUCCUGGGGCGGUAGUACGUCCCAAGGGUUGGGCUGUUCGCCCAUGAAAGCGGUACGCGAGCUGGGUUCAGAACGUCGUGAGACAGUUCGGUCCAUAUCCGGUGUAGGCGUUAGAAUAUUGAGAGGAGCCUUCUUUAGUACGAGAGGACCGAGAAGGACAUACCUCUGGCGUACCAGUUAUCGUGCCAACGGUAAACGCUGGGUAGCUAUGUAUGGAGUGGAUAACCGCUGAAAGCAUCUAAGUGGGAAGCCCACCUCAAGAUAAGUA
This 1235-nucleotide ribosomal RNA is filed under the name metagenome. RNAcentral describes it as "bacterial LSU rRNA". It matches the Rfam family "Bacterial large subunit ribosomal RNA", at positions 1564 to 2810 of the family's 2925-position model. The record is from RNAcentral.